UACAGAGGGGGCAAGCGUUGUUCGGAAUUACUGGGCGUAAAGGGCGCGUAGGCGGCCUGUUAAGUCGAACGUGAAAUCCCCGGGCUCAACCCGGGAACUGCGUCCGAUACUGGCAGGCUUGAAUCCGGGAGAGGGAUGCGGAAUUCCAGGUGUAGCGGUGAAAUGCGUAGAUAUUCGCAAGAACACCAGUGGCGAAGGCGGCUCACUGGCCCGGUACUGACGCUGAGGUGCGAAAGCGUGGGGAGCAAACAGG
Molecule: ribosomal RNA, 253 nt
Filed under: uncultured bacterium
Lineage: Bacteria
Description: partial 16S ribosomal RNA
Rfam family: Bacterial small subunit ribosomal RNA
Source: RNAcentral